UAGAAACUUCUACAGAGUUACUUCUGUGGCCAGAUGCUUUCCAUGUAUUAUAUUAAUCAAUCCUCUCAAGAACCCUAAAAGAUGUAUAACAAACUCCCUGAGGCAAGACCAUGCUACUUCACCUUGAAUCUGAGACACUGAAUACUGAGC
Molecule: long non-coding RNA, 150 nt
Filed under: Mustela putorius furo (domestic ferret)
Lineage: Eukaryota; Metazoa; Chordata; Mammalia; Carnivora; Mustelidae
Description: lncRNA (ENSMPUG00000027816.1)
Source: RNAcentral